RNAcentral lists this ribosomal RNA (497 nucleotides) under uncultured bacterium. Its description in RNAcentral is "partial 16S ribosomal RNA". It matches the Rfam family "Bacterial small subunit ribosomal RNA", at positions 28 to 507 of the family's 1533-position model. The record is from RNAcentral.
GAUGAACGCUGGCGGCGUGCCUAAUACAUGCAAGUCGAGCGAACAGAUAAGGAGCUUGCUCCUUUGACGUUAGCGGCGGACGGGUGAGUAACACGUGGGUAACCUACCUAUAAGACUGGGAUAACUUCGGGAAACCGGAGCUAAUACCGGAUAACAUUUGGAGCCGCAUGGUUCUAAAGUGCAAGAUGGUUUUGCUAUCACUUAUAGAUGGACCCGCGCCGUAUUAGCUAGUUGGUAAGGUAACGGCUUACCAAGGCGACGAUACGUAGCCGACCUGAGAGGGUGAUCGGCCACACUGGAACUGAGACACGGUCCAGACUCCUACGGGAGGCAGCAGUAGGGAAUCUUCCGCAAUGGGCGAAAGCCUGACGGAGCAACGCCGCGUGAGUGAUGAAGGGUUUCGGCUCGUAAAACUCUGUUAUUAGGGAAGAACAAAUGUGUAAGUAACUGUGCACGUCUUGACGGUACCUAAUCAGAAAGCCACGGCUAACUACGUG